GGGCCCGUAGUUCAGUGGCUACGGCUUUUGUCGCUAUAAAGAACGUCUCCCUUACAAGGAGAAGGUCACCGGUUCAAGUCCGGUCGGGCCCA
This 92-nucleotide transfer RNA is filed under the name Candidatus Woesearchaeota archaeon. RNAcentral's name for it is "tRNA-Val". It matches the Rfam family "tRNA". From Rfam's summary of the family: Transfer RNA (tRNA) molecules are approximately 80 nucleotides in length. Their secondary structure includes four short double-helical elements and three loops (D, anti-codon, and T loops). The record is from RNAcentral. Lineage: Archaea; Nanobdellati; Candidatus Woesearchaeota.